This is a long non-coding RNA of Hipposideros armiger (great roundleaf bat), 841 nucleotides long. RefSeq lists it as uncharacterized. Lineage: Eukaryota; Metazoa; Chordata; Mammalia; Chiroptera; Hipposideridae. The record is from RefSeq and is a predicted model, not a curated record. The transcript has 6 exons.
CCGCUCUGUCUCCGAGGCCGGCCUCAUGGCUGAAGUCAUGGCGGCUUCUCUCCGACCCGAGGGCGGCGGGCGGCCUCAGGCCUGUGGCGAUCAGAGAGGCUGCGGAGGCCUUUCUUGGGCAUCAGCAGAGAGAGCGAGCAGCAGACCUGCAGGUGGAGGCUUCAAAAGUAAUGAAACGGAGCCCUAAAAGGAAUUAAAUGUGUUGGCCGUGGACUUGGAAAAAAAGUCACAUGAAAACGAUCAUCUUAAGCUGUUCAGUGUAAGGGUCUUCGUGAUGAAAUUUCUAUAAACGGACAGCCGCAGCCUCGGUUUGUGAGGCAGAAAUGAUCCUCCAGGAGACAGUAACCAGCAGCAGCGUGUGCCAGCUGCGCUGGAGGCGGCGGGCUUAUUCUCGUGUGUCUGCAGUGUGAGACACAGAGCUGAACUGCUUUCCUGAAGCAAGCGACAGUUGCUCUCCUGCUGCUGGUGGCCUCCCAGUGGUGCCAGACAGGAUCAGCAAGCCUCUGCCGCUCGUUGCUCAUGUCUGUAAAGUAAUCCCCCAAAAGGAGAAUCAUUUCAGAGUUCUUUGGACUUUUAUCUUCAAAAGUAGCCAAAGAAUUCGAGUGACUACGUUUAUCCCAGAAAAUCUCGGGCAGUUAGUGAAAUUAGAGUUAUGACUAAGAACGUUGGGAACACCCCAGUUUCGUAUUCAUGUAUUGGCGGGACUGGAGCGAUUGUAAAUUGAAGGUAAUUAACGUGUAUAUGCUCUUUUGUGGGAAGUGAAGGGGAAACAGGUGCUUGGCCUAGAAAAACAUUUCUUGGGAGUGGCUUUUGAAGCACAAAUAAAAAUUUUUUAAAAUGA